UAAAUUGAAACCAAGUGCCUAGGUGCUUAGCUGUUAACUAAGUCAUAGUGAGAUAGAUACUCACCAAUUUAGU
Molecule: transfer RNA, 73 nt
Filed under: Gymnobelideus leadbeateri (Leadbeater's possum)
Lineage: Eukaryota; Metazoa; Chordata; Mammalia; Diprotodontia; Petauridae
Description: tRNA-Asn
Source: RNAcentral